Molecule: ribosomal RNA, 374 nt
Filed under: uncultured organism
Description: partial 16S ribosomal RNA
Rfam family: Bacterial small subunit ribosomal RNA
Source: RNAcentral
GUAGGUGGCAAGCGUUGUCCGGAAUUAUUGGGGCGUAAAGCGCGCGCAGGCGGUUCUUUAAGUCUGAUGUGAAAGCCCACGGGCUCAACCGUGGAGGGUCAUUGGAAACUGGAGAACUUGAGUACAGAAGAGGAAAGCGGAAUUCCACGUGUAGCGGUGAAAUGCGUAGAGAUGUGGAGGAACACCAGUGGCGAAGGCGGCUUUCUGGUCUGUAACUGAUGCUGAGGCGCGAAAGCGUGGGGAGCAAACAGGAUUAGAUACCCUGGUAGUCCACGCCGUAAACGAUGAGUGCUAAGUGUUAGGGGGUUUCCGCCCCUUAGUGCUGCAGCUAACGCAUUAAGCACUCCGCCUGGGGAGUACGGCCGCAAAGGCUG